GACGAACGCUGGCGGCGUGCUUAACACAUGCAAGUCGAACGGAAAGGCCCUGCUUUUGUGGGGUGCUCGAGUGGCGAACGGGUGAGUAACACGUGAGUAACCUGCCCUUGACUUUGGGAUAACUUCAGGAGACUGGGGCUAAUACCGGAUAGGAGCUCCUGCUGCAUGGUGGGGGUUGGAAAGUUUCGGCGGUUGGGGAUGGACUCGCGGCUUAUGAGCUUGUUGGUGGGGUAGUGGCUUACCAAGGCUUCGACGGGUAGCCGGCCUGAGAGGGUGACCGGACACAAUGGGACUGAGAUACGGCCCAGACGCCUACGGGAGGCAGCAGUGGAGAAUAUUGCACAAUGGGCGGAAGCCUGAUGCAGCAGCGCCGCGUGCGGGAUGACGGCCUUCGUGUUGUAAACCGCUUUCGCCUGUGACGAAGCGUGAGUGACGGUAAUGGGUAAAGAAGCACCGGCUAACUACGUG
RNAcentral lists this ribosomal RNA (468 nucleotides) under uncultured bacterium. Its description in RNAcentral is "partial 16S ribosomal RNA". It matches the Rfam family "Bacterial small subunit ribosomal RNA", at positions 28 to 507 of the family's 1533-position model. The record is from RNAcentral.